RNAcentral lists this ribosomal RNA (388 nucleotides) under uncultured Mycobacterium sp. RNAcentral's name for it is "bacterial SSU rRNA". It matches the Rfam family "Bacterial small subunit ribosomal RNA", at positions 524 to 910 of the family's 1533-position model. Lineage: Bacteria; Bacillati; Actinomycetota; Actinomycetes; Mycobacteriales; Mycobacteriaceae. The record is from RNAcentral.
UACGUAGGGUGCGAGCGUUGUCCGGAAUUACUGGGCGUAAAGAGCUCGUAGGUGGUUUGUCGCGUUGUUCGUGAAAUCUCACGGCUUAACUGUGAGCGUGCGGGCGAUACGGGCAGACUAGAGUACUGCAGGGGAGACUGGAAUUCCUGGUGUAGCGGUGGAAUGCGCAGAUAUCAGGAGGAACACCGGUGGCGAAGGCGGGUCUCUGGGCAGUAACUGACGCUGAGGAGCGAAAGCGUGGGGAGCGAACAGGAUUAGAUACCCUGGUAGUCCACGCCGUAAACGGUGGGUACUAGGUGUGGGUUUCCUUCCUUGGGAUCCGUGCCGUAGCUAACGCAUUAAGUACCCCGCCUGGGGAGUACGGCCGCAAGGCUAAACUCAAAGGAAU